GGAAUAUUGGACAAUGGGGGCAACCCUGAUCCAGCCAUGCCGCGUGCAGGAAGACGGCCUUCUGGGUUGUAAACUGCUUUUAUCAGGGAAGAAUAAGCUUCUUGCGAGAGGUGAUGCCGGUACCUGAGGAAUACGCCCCGGCUAACUCCGUGCCAGCAGCCGCGGUAAUCCGGAGGGUGCGAGCGUUGUCCGGAUUUAUUGGGUUUAAAGGGUGCGUAGGCGGCCUGUUAAGUCAGUGGUGAAAGGUAUCAGCUCAACUGAUGACGUGCCAUUGAAACUGGCGGGCUUGAGUACAGACGAGGUAGGCGGAAUUUAUGGUGUAGCGGUGAAAUGCAUAGAUACCAUAAAGAACACCGAUAGCGAAGGCAGCUUACUAGGCUGAGACUGACGCUGAGGCACGAGAGCGUGGGGAGCG
RNAcentral lists this ribosomal RNA (415 nucleotides) under uncultured bacterium. RNAcentral's name for it is "bacterial SSU rRNA". It matches the Rfam family "Bacterial small subunit ribosomal RNA", at positions 358 to 770 of the family's 1533-position model. The record is from RNAcentral.